Molecule: long non-coding RNA, 620 nt
Filed under: Vulpes vulpes (red fox)
Lineage: Eukaryota; Metazoa; Chordata; Mammalia; Carnivora; Canidae
Description: lncRNA (ENSVVUG00000002518.1)
Source: RNAcentral
GGCCCAACAGACAAAACCCCAAUAUGGAUUAGUGCAGGGGAGAAGACUCUGGCAACAGGGUGUCAGUCCACAAGGAGCUGAGUAGAAAGGUAUUUUACAGAGGAGGAUAACCUUGUCCAAACCCUAAUAUGUGUUUUUUCAAAAGAGCUUGCAACCUUUUGGAACCCAUGUAAUAGCAGAAGUCUAAAGUCAGUGAAAGGAAAUGACUGACCCAGGGUCUGUCUGUAAGUUGGGGCUGUAGAAAUCUGGGUUUUUCCAUUUCUGACUCUCUGUCUACAAAUUUUCUCUUCUUCCAUUCUCAUCAGGUCUGGAACAGGAACAGCUUCAUAUAUAAGAAAAAUACCAGCUGGUUUUCCCUGGGUCCUCCCAGAUCAAAUAGAUCUAUUGCCUUUCCAUUGGGCUGGCUGAAACGCUGCGGACUGCGACCAGUCUCUUAAAAAGAAGAACAAAAAGAGGAAGACCUUGAGUGGACCCCAGGACAAAGCACUUUGGGCUCGGCAAGAAGGGACGCGCGGGAGCGCUGGCUCCGAACCGGAGUGAUCUCGGGUGCCCAAGAGCGCCCAUCCAGCGUGCGGACCUCUGAGGGUAUUCGGAUUGAAUUUUAUUUAUCUUUUUGGCAU